This is a long non-coding RNA of Pipistrellus kuhlii (Kuhl's pipistrelle), 1638 nucleotides long. RefSeq lists it as uncharacterized. NCBI's taxonomy places the organism in Eukaryota, Metazoa, Chordata, Mammalia, Chiroptera, Vespertilionidae. The record is from RefSeq and is a predicted model, not a curated record. The transcript has 2 exons.
CUGACCAGAGUUGGGGGCCAGGGAGGAACCUGCGACCAAGGUACAUACCCUUGACCAGAAUCAAACCCGAGACUUUUGGUCUGAAGGUCAAUGCUCUAUCCACUGAGCCAAGCCAGCUAUGGCUUACUCAAACUUUUUAUGAGUUACCACUUUUUACAAUUUGACAAGGAACCCAAAUAUAUCUUUAUACAUUUAUUUUUUUUUAAAUGACAAGUGGAAUUAUUAUUAGUUGUCUUGUUUUUAGGAUGCUUGACUAUCAUAUUAGAGAAUAUAACUUUCCUUCAUUCUUCAUAAUUGAUGAUUAAAAUUCUAUGGAAACAAUAUCAUACUUUAAUUUUUCACUUAUUUGUAGAUGUUUAGGUUGUCUUAAUUUUUCCUGGUAAUAUUUUUACACAAACACUUUAAUUUGAAAAUCAUAUCUUUAUAUUUGCGUUAAAAUGAUGAAUGGUUAAGCUUGCUUUGUUAUUUUUCUGGCUUUCUCCUGGGAAAGUGAAGUCAGUAAAACUUUUGUAUCCUGAGAAUGUAAGUUGAGGAGUGCAGUUCACCAGCGACUAUUAUGGAACAUACUGGGGCUCAUGAAAUGUUCAUCGAAUGAAUGAAUAAAUAAAUGCAUAAGGAAUUGUGGCCUGUUUCAUAUUAAACAUUUAUUUCGUGGAGUAAUGUUUCAUGGAGUCAACAUGAUAUAUCAGAAUCUUUGCAUGUGACUAAUGUAUUCAAGAGGUCCUUGUUUGUCAUUCCUACUUCAUUUGGGUCUUAAGUGUUUACUAGUACAUCAUGUUUAUGAAUCCUCUCUAUGCCAGAACGAACCUUCAGAAAUCUCUGCAACAUAUGUGUGAACGUCUAGUUAUUUUAGUACCAAAUGGCUAUGCCCUGCCUUUUUGUUUGAGACUUGAGUUUAGUUUCUGGUUGUGCUACUUAGCCAGAUGUAUGGUCGUGGAUAUUUACAAGUCCCCUGAUCUCAAGUUCACAUUAGCAAAUUGAUGGUAAUAGUAUGUGAUUAUGUAUGACACACACACAUAAACAUGUAUGCAUACAGUGAAGGGUUAGCCCAGUGCUUAGAAUCAUUAAGUGCUUAGUACAUAGAAAUAAUUAUUGUCAGUUUUAUUGUUAUAUAGAAAUGUGGUGACAAUAUGGACUAUUUGAUUAGUGUCUGUUCAACAAGAAAAGCAAUUUAUUUAGGUGCAGAAUAGAGGAGUUUUGAGUUUUGGAGGAGCAGUAGUGACAUAUACUAGUAAGCAAGGAUAGGAGAUGGUAUAAAAUGGCUAAUCUUGUCUAUACUGAUUCUCUCUUCCCCAAGUAAUUGGCAGUAGUGCAAUGGUUCUCAAAGUGUGUUCCAGCUGGCUUCCCCAAGACCCUUUCAUGGGGUUUGCAAGGUGAAAGCUUUCUUAACAAUAAUAAGAUGUUAUCUGCCCUUUCGCUUUCCUUCUCUCAUGAGCUGGUUUUCCAGAGGCCUACCCAAUGUGUGAUAUCAAAUUGAAUACAGAAACAAAUAUAAGACUCUAGCUGUCUACUACCGUUAAGCCAGGGAAUAAAGAGAUUUAUAAAGAAAGGAAGAAAGAAAAUACCAUUCUUGUCACUAAUUUCUUUUGUUCUGGGAAAUACAAUUAUUUUUUCAUUAAAGUGUUAUUUGUGUUCUCA